RNAcentral lists this long non-coding RNA (1038 nucleotides) under Felis catus (domestic cat). Its description in RNAcentral is "lncRNA (ENSFCAG00000052404.1)". Lineage: Eukaryota; Metazoa; Chordata; Mammalia; Carnivora; Felidae. The record is from RNAcentral.
AUGUCCCAAACCACAGCCAACAGACUCCAUAGGUGGCUUCUGCCCCUCACCCCCCUGGGGUCAGGAAGACCACUCCUAAUCACCCGCAUGCCGUUCAGAGCUCCUCCGUCCUUGCCCAGCCUCCUGCACAAAGCUGCAGCAGAGAGGGCCCAGGGCAAAGCCGGAGGAAGGGCCUGGGAGCCACGCUUGGUGGGGGCGGGAGGACGGCAGAAGCCUUGUGGCUGUGGAGAAUGGCGGGAAAGCUGGAUGCGAAAGCUGGAUGCGAGUGCGAACAGCCAGAGGGAUGAGGGUUCUCGAAGCAGCCACCAGGCUGCCCGGCCCUUCUUAGGGGCCAGAGCCCAGAACUUUCCUGAUGGGAGCACACCUUGGGCAGGACGCCCCUGGCCAGCCAAGGAGCCCUCACAGAAGAUGUCGGAGGUGGGACGGUCCACAGCCUCAGCGCCCCUGGGAAGGCAGGAGCACGGGGCGCUUGGGAGGAGGUGGGCAGUUUCCCAGGCGUGCCAGCAGCAGAGCAAAACUACAGAAGAAAAGGGAAAAGUCGGGGUGCCCCACCAUCAGCAAGGAAUUUCCAACUUAAGACAAAAACGUUUCCUCAGAGACGAGACUCCUGUGGCAGGAGAGUGCUCCUACCUGGAGAAUGGUCCAGACCCUUUCGUGAGGCCCUUCCACUGGUACUCAGCCUGUCUGAAGUCCUUGGGUCUGGUCUCCGCCCUUCCUCAGUGCUUGCCCCCCCCCCCCCCCCGGGCCGCUUCCUGUUCAGGAACAGCUGCAAGUCUGGGCUUGUCCCUCUGGUCAGCUGGGCUUCCAGACAGACAUCCCAGCCUGACACCUUUGCUGGGGUUUGGAAGGUGGUGGUGCCCUGUCUGCCCUCGACACCCACUCCCUCCUCGCACCGCAUUGAACAGGUGCCUUAAGCUGAGACCCAGAGGUGGGGGGAAGGGGAGGGGUGGUUGUGGUUUGAAUCCCCUGGAUCCCCCAGUCUCAACAAGAGGCCCCCAGAAAGGGGGUCACAGGGUCCCACUCUUUCAACUGGCCUGA